UACGAAGGGGGCUAGCGUUGUUCGGACUUACUGGGCGUAAAGGGCGCGUAGGCUGUGCUGUAAGUCAGGCGUGAACGGCCCGGGCUCAACCUGGGAACUGCGCAUGAUACUGCGGCGCUUGAAGACGGGAGAGGAUGGCGGAAUUCCCAGUGUAGAGGUGAAAGUCGUAGAUAGGGGGAAGAACACCGGUGGCGAAGGCGGCCAUCUGGCUCGUGAUUGACGCUGAGGCGCGAAAGCGUGGGGAGCAAACAGG
This 253-nucleotide ribosomal RNA is filed under the name uncultured bacterium. RNAcentral describes it as "partial 16S ribosomal RNA". It matches the Rfam family "Bacterial small subunit ribosomal RNA", at positions 524 to 776 of the family's 1533-position model. The record is from RNAcentral.